CGGCGAGUGAAGCGGCAACAGCUCAAAUUUGAAAUCUGGCCCUCGGGUCCGAAUUGUAAUUUGUAGAGGAUGAUUUUGGUGCGGUAUCUUCCGAGUUCCUUGGAACAGGACGCCUUAGAGGGUGAGAGCCCCGUACGGUUGAAUGCCUAGCCUCUGUAAAUCUCCUUCGACGAGUCGAGUAGUUUGGGAAUGCUGCUCUAAAUGGGAGGUAAAUUUCUUCUAAAGCUAAAUAUUGGCCAGAGACCGAUAGCGCACAAGUAGAGUGAUCGAAAGAUGAAAAGCACUUUGAAAAGAGGGUUAAAUAGCACGUGAAAUUGUUGAAAGGGAAGGAUUUGUGACCAGACUUUUUCUGGGCGGAUCAUCCGGGGUUCUCUCCGGUGCACUUUGCCCAGUAAAGGCCAGCAUCGAUUUUCGGCGGCGGAUAAAAGCAGUGGGAAUGUGGCUCCCUACGGGGAGUGUUAUAGCCCAUUGUAUAAUACGCUGCUGGGGAUCGAGGUACGCGCUUCUGCAAGGAUGCUGGCGUAAUGGUUAUCAAUCACCCGUCUUGAAACACGGACCAAGGAGUCGAACAUUUAUGCGAGUGUUUGGGUGUUAAACCCUCACGCGUAAUGAAAGUGAACGGAGGUGAGAGCCCGUACGGGUGCAUCAUCGACCGAUCCUGAAGUUUUCGGAUGGAUUUGAGUAAGAGCAUAACUGUUCGGACCCGAAAGAUGGUGAACUAUGCGUGGAUAGGGUGAAGCCAGAGGAAACUCUGGUGGAGGCUCGCAGCGGUUCUGACGUGCAAAUCGAUCGUCAAAUCUGCGCAU
This 806-nucleotide ribosomal RNA is filed under the name Pestalotiopsis portugallica. Its description in RNAcentral is "eukaryotic LSU rRNA". It matches the Rfam family "Eukaryotic large subunit ribosomal RNA", at positions 87 to 918 of the family's 3401-position model. Lineage: Eukaryota; Fungi; Ascomycota; Sordariomycetes; Amphisphaeriales; Sporocadaceae. The record is from RNAcentral.